Molecule: small RNA, 1387 nt
Filed under: Malus domestica (apple)
Lineage: Eukaryota; Viridiplantae; Streptophyta; Magnoliopsida; Rosales; Rosaceae
Description: sRNA MD03G0091200
Source: RNAcentral
AUUGUCAGCUAUACAGGGCCUCUCAUUCGCUAGCAGUCCAGAAUCCUGAAUUGUCUUCCUCAGACUACAGAAAGCAGAUUCUGUGAAUCCUUUUCUGUCCUUUUCUGCCUCUCUACUUUUAAUUGUAAUGGUUGUGGUUAUGCAGUUGUUGAAAGAGCAUUCCAUCUUUGUGGUUGCCUCCAAAAAGUCAUCGCUUGAUAAAUGUCAUCUUCCAUUAGGAAUUAGAUUGUUCGUCUCCGCUGGCCAUAUGUAAUCCGAUCUGUUCAAGGCAGCUGCAUCCAUGAAAGGUGUUGCAGAAUUGGUGCUAGAUUAUAUAACCAAGCAGAUUGUCAUUUUCUGAAGGCGUUUUCUAUAGAGGUUUAGUUGAACAUGGAGACAAUAACCGAUUGCUUGAAGGCAGGAAUGUCUGGUAUUGCUCACCUGCAAAAUGAUGUAAACUCGCGAUUUAUGGUGGUUUUGAAUGGGUGACUUGCUCUUAUAAAGUUCUGGAACAUAAACUGCUUUGGAGCCAGCAGCACUCAGUAGCCAGAACAACGGCCUUUCUCUCCCUUAUCGGAAAAGAGGUACUUUCAGGGUAAACAAGAAGCUAAAGCAUAAUCAAAGGAUUUGUCGACCUAUUGUGGAAGGGUCAAAAAAUUGCAUCAUUACAAAGCGUAGGCAUGGGACUUACAAAUGACUCCUUUCAAGUGGUCUGGGCAUUACAUAGAGAAAGGCAGCUAAAGCUUGCAUGGGUUAUCACUGGUGUCCUCGAAGCAUGCCAUUCUUUGGGUGUCAUGCAUUGGGACUUAAAGCCAGAGAUUUUCUAUUUGUCAACCAGAAAGAGGAUGCACCACUUAAGACAAUAGAUUUUGGGCUCUCUGUGUUCUUUAGACCAGAUUAAAAUGGUACGAUUCUGCUUGAUGAUCGUGGAAGCCAGCGAUUCUGCUUCUACAAAAAAUGCACCGAUGUCGUUCCAGAUCACUACUCCAAACCUCCCGCAAACUCCAAAGCAGGAUAAUUCAUACUUGGAUAGCUACAUCAGCACAAUUGGAGUUGAAUUUAUUAAAUGUCUUAUUCAUGUGGUUAAGGCUGGUGCAUUCAAGUCCCGCAGCAACGCGCGGGCAUUUUAGCUAGUGUGAAACAAAAUACGUCACUAGAUGUGCUGCCCUAUUAUAUUCUGGAAGAGAAAAAUAAAAUCUUUUGACCUCAGUUGUUUUUAAAAAUUCUAGCUUAAAUAUUAAACUCUUUGGUUCAAAUUAUGUUUAUUACUGUCUUAAUACUUGUAAAAUAUGGGACAUAUCAGACGACUUAUAACCAAGAUAAAGUUUCUUUACUCACCAACGAACACUAAUCACUUAUCACUAGCUAUUAGGGUCAAGACUACCAUUUGCACCCUUUACAUUUUGAU